CUUCCCACGCAUGGUCGGUCCUUCCUGGCUCCCUCCACGAUGCUACGGCCAGCGGCUCUGCCUGGCGAAACCGGGAGGUCUCCUCACAGCGUUACUGCCUCUCGGGCUCUUGCUGACCUUCUCCUGGACUCGCUGCGGGAUCCGGGAGCUUUUGAAACCCCCAUGUCUCGGCUAACCCCGGGCGGCCUGACUCGGUUGGUCUGGGAGACACGGUAAUUCCCUUCUGCAUAUUUUCUGAGGAUCCUGUGAAAAGGACAGUGUUUUGUAGUGAAGCUUCAGGAUCCUCUGAACACCCAUCUCUGUGGAUGUUGUCACUCUGUCCUGUCUCUCCCGUCCGAUGCCAGCUCUGAACUCAGACGGUUGUCUUCUCUAAAGACGUAGAGUAACAAGGUUCUCAUCUUCUCCACAUUAUCUUCUCUGAGAAAGGAAAAGACUCAAAAUGAAAGUAGUAGCCAUCCUAAUGGACGUGAAGUGGAGAAAUGCUUCUUUGAAAAUCGGGAAAUGCUUGAUAACGUCAGAGACUAAGAAGAAGACAUCCCUGUGCCUGGAUCCCGGAACACCAGACCCAGGCCCACCAUGAGUUCGUUUGUGGCCACACUGCUCUCUAAUCCACCGAAAUCUCACACAGUGUCUGUUUCUAAGGCUCUUUUUCACUGAAACCGUAGGCCUGAGGACAAGUGCACCGGGGAUUGUCAGAGAAGCCGUCCCCUGGAUGCAGAGCCAAUCCACCCCUCCCCCGAGCUCAGGCACAGAUGUUGGACGUGCCCUCGGCUCUGAAGUCAGGACCAGAUAGGCUGCCGUCCAGCUGGGAGUCCUUCGGCCUCAGCUUGGGUUUAGCCCUGCUGCUCUUUGGCCAAGGGACCUCAGACACAUCACCUUGUGGAGGUUACGUCUUCAUCUGAAAAGUGAGGGUGACGACCCUUUCCUGGAAGGAUGGCUGGGAGGACGGCUGACCACCCAGGGCCAUGUCCUGACCCAACCACACUCCAUGUCACGGGGUCUUCAGUGAAAGGGCCCCUGCAGAACAGCAGUCUGUGGGCUGUGAUCAGAAAACAGGAGAACCAGGAGCUGCGAGGCUCCGUCCCUCUUCACACCCUUCCCCUCCCCCCACCUGGUACCCACAGCCCAGUCUCUGCCCGCUUCUCUCUGCUGCACGCGCCAGCCCGGCCCCGUGGCCUCUCCCUCUCACGUGGGGUUACAGACACUCCUCCAUGGUCUGGGCUCUCUUAUCUUCUCUUCCUCUGUAAUCUGACAGGCUUUCCACUGAUCAGGCAGGUGGUCUGAGGGUGUAGAUGGUCUACACUCGCACACACAGGGUGUGCUGGGCUGCCCGUUGAGUCGUCCAAGUCCAAAACAGUAAAAGGACCAGUAGUUCUUAUUUACAAAACCUAUGAGGUCAGCAAGGAAAGUACUACCCCAUCUGCAAAGGAGCAAACUGACGCUCUGAGGGGUUUGGGGGUCUGGCCACGACCCCGCGGACGCGAGCUGGGUCUCCUGGAGCAAAGAGCCCAGGGCUCCGCACUGGAGCGCCGCUCUCCCAGGUCCUCCUCCUCCCCCUCCUCUCCCUCUGGCCGAGUUUGGCCGGCCAGUACUGGAUCCCCUUCCGUGCAGCGUGUGCUGGUACCAGGCUGUCUGGGAAGAGACGACAGCCCUGACGUGCAGGAAUCGCGCGGUGUCAACACUCCCGGAUGGCUGACUUGAAGCUGUGGCCGACUCACAGCGGCUUCCUGAAGGCUCCCCGACGGGCCUGCAGCUGUGGCCCCCCCUCCCCCGGUCCUGGCCAUCAGUCCCCGGGAAUGACGCGCAUCUCGCUCCCACACCUCGGGUCACCCGACAAGGAGACAAGGACAACACGCAAUGCGCUAAGAAGGGAAGAAUCUCCCACAGACCUCGGGGCGGAGGGGAGAAGUUCCCACUAAGGGUUGGCGAGGGCGAUGCUCGGGAGGGUGUAAGGCGCCCGUGAUCCUGAGCCAGCAUUUAACCCUGUCAGCCCUGCUCCUUGUCAACCAAAAGUAUCACGUGCCCCUUGUGGAGACUUCUGGAAACAUCCUGCAAAGAAAGCUUGUCUUAAAGGCCACCAAAAGGCCAGUCAAACGAGGCACCCAGAAGACACCUAGUGGGAUGCUUGGAAGCGUGAGCUUUAGUAAGUGGAGGACAACGGGAGAUAAGACCUCGGAUUUCUGAGGACAACGGAAGAUAAGACCUCGGGUUUCUGAGGACAACGGGAGAUAAGACCUCGGGUUUCUGAGGAUAACGGAAGAUAAGACAUCGGAUUUCUGAAGAACUAACAGGAGGCAAUGUGCUGCGGCAGAUGGCACGUGAAGAGGUCGGACAUUCUCAGGCUGGAAUUCCAGCUUCUCCACUUACGGCUUCCGACUGCCCCCCUAGAGCCGCAUGGCCACGCUGUUUGCAUGUCUGCAGAGAGGAGGUGAUGCUAGUGCGUGCCCAGUGAGAUUGGUGUGUCCUCUGAGAUGCUCGGCGUGAUAAAACCUCCUGGUCCCACACGUCUGGACGCACUGAGCUCGGGGCCCUGGCUGGGUCAGGCUCAAUCCUCCUUUCCCUAAGGAGUGAAUAAAACAGCGUCACAUCUACAGACAGAGGGAACUAAGAUGAUUUUUGGAGAAUAUCUUAAAUGAAAACUUACAAAUGCACGUGAUAUUCACCAAAACCGCUACAAGAUUUCCCUUCCACAUAUUUUAUUGGGGAAGUAUAUAAUAACACGGAACUUUUUUUUUAAGUGUUCUAAUCAAGAAUAGCAGCAGAUGGGAUGAAGUGAGAGAGUGGCGUGGACAUAUAUACACUACCAAAUGUAAAAUAGAUAGCUAGUGGGAAGCAGCUGCACAGCACAGGGAGAUCAGCUCGGUGCUUU
Balaenoptera acutorostrata (minke whale) is the source of this 2869-nucleotide long non-coding RNA. RefSeq lists it as uncharacterized. The record is from RefSeq and is a predicted model, not a curated record. Lineage: Eukaryota; Metazoa; Chordata; Mammalia; Artiodactyla; Balaenopteridae. The transcript is spliced from 3 exons.